AAAAAAACGCCUUACUAUACUAUGUCGAAAAAAAAAUGCAAUUUUUCAACAUGUUGUAAAAAUGUGCCAUAUGAUGAAAUAAUGUAAAGGAGGCCGUGAAAAACACUCAAGAAAGGUUUUCUUUGAAAAAAAAAUCAUCAUGAAUUUUGGCGCAAAAAAAACGCCUUACUAUACUAUGUCGAAAAAAAAUGCGAUUUUUCAACAUGUUGUAAAAACAUGCCAUAUGAUGAAAUAAUGUAAAGGAGGCCGUGAAAAACACUCCAGAAAGGUUUUCUUUGAAAAAAAAAUCAUCAUGAAUUUUGCCGCAAAAAAACGCCUUACUAUACUAUGUCGAAAAAAAAAUGCAAUUUUUCAACAUGUUGUAAAAACGUG
Molecule: long non-coding RNA, 372 nt
Organism: Amphiprion ocellaris (clown anemonefish)
Lineage: Eukaryota; Metazoa; Chordata; Actinopteri; Pomacentridae
Source: Ensembl